UACGUAGGGGGCAAGCGUUAUCCGGAUUUACUGGGUGUAAAGGGAGCGUAGACGGCGAUGCAAGCCAGAUGUGAAAGCCCGGGGCUCAACCCCGGGACUGCAUUUGGAACUGUGUGGCUGGAGUGUCGGAGAGGCAAGUGGAAUUCCUAGUGUAGCGGUGAAAUGCGUAGAUACUAGGAGGAACACCAGUGGCGAAGGCGGCUUGCUGGACGAUGACUGACGUUGAGGCUCGAAAGCGUGGGGAGCAAACAGG
Molecule: ribosomal RNA, 253 nt
Filed under: uncultured bacterium
Lineage: Bacteria
Description: partial 16S ribosomal RNA
Rfam family: Bacterial small subunit ribosomal RNA
Source: RNAcentral